GCUUCAAACAUGUUUUUAGGGGCAAACCUAAUAAGCGACACUUGCUGACGGAGGGGUGGAAGGACUUUGCUAAGUCAAAAAAGCUAGAAAAAGGUGAUGAGUUAAUCUUCUUAAGGGGAGAAACAGGACAACUUCUGAUUGGUUUAAAGAAGCUCAAAGACACAGAUGACAAAUUUUCUGUGAUAUCUUUGGAAAACAAAUGUGUUGGGGCUUUGACUAGAGCUCAUAUGGCCAUCGAUAGGGGAACUUCCUUUUCUUUCAACUACAAGCCUAGGUUUUAUGCUUUCAUUCAAUUGUGCAAAGCAAGCUAAGUUUGGAUUUUGUGGCAUUGGUUGGUUAAUUUACUGCAUGUUCUACUCAUCUAUAAUUGCAUGCAACAUUCCAACAAUGGCAACAUUUUGAGUCUAGUGGCUUUUGAUAGAAUAAGCACAUGACAAAAAACCACUAAUCAUAUACAGAGAUUUCUUUGUGUUGAAAGAAUCUUCCAAAUAUAUGGUGGCAUCGUUUGGGAAUGAUAAUGUAACUUAGGGACUUCAUUUAACAUUUUCUAAAAUCCCUCUUGACUUGAGAUGUCACUGUUAUGUGAAUGUGUCUUCAACAAUGUGUUUUUUUUUUUUUUUAAUAAUAUUUCAAUGAAUUGUCAUGUGAAGUUCAAGUGGUCUUCCUUAUUGAGCUUUUCGAGUUUGUAACAUACUUUUAAUUGAUUUUUGGAGUUCUUAUUUAGCAUAUUCAGAAAAAUUAUAAUUCAUUUUGUUUUCCUUAUUACUGCAACUUGUUUACUUGUUUUUUGCUUUGCUUACAUUUUUAAUAGAGUUUGGUACUUUUGUUAAGAAAGAAUUGCUCUUUUUCAGGGCAAAUAGGUGUGAGUUCAUGGUAAAUGUCAACAAGUACCUCGAAGCUCAAAAUCACAACUUAUCUAUUGGGACUAGGUUUUCAAUGAGAUUUGAGGUUGGGAAAGUUCAUAAAAGGUAUCAUCUUAUAUUCAGUUUGUUUUGUUCUAGAAGCUGAAAACAACUUUUUUUGAUAGUUAUAUUUAUCAAAUUUCAGCUUCAUUGGCACUAUUGCUGGUUUUGAUGAUAAUGAAUCAUCAAGAUGGGUUAGUUCCCAGUGGAGAUCGAUAAAGGUUAAUGUUUAUCUUUAAUAGUUACGUUGUUUUGGAUUAAUCUUGGUUUCUACAUUCAUGCCUAUUGCCCAACUUUUUUUUUUUUUCCUUUAAUGACUUUGUUAUUCUAGCACAUUGUAAUUGCAACUUUAUCUUUUGUUUGAUUAAACAUAUUAUACUUACUUAUUGGAGGUUAAAAUUUCUCAUAUCUUCUAUUGUGGUUAUAUCGUUGAUAGGUUAAUUGGGAUAAAGCUUCACCUUUCCUUCCAAGAAGAGUGUCACCAUGGGAAUUGGAACCAACUUCAAACUCUCAAAUUAUUCAAAGUAGCAAGCGAGCACUACAUACUGUUGGCUUUGCUCAGCAUAUUUCCUGCCAGAGGCGUAGGAUAGAAGGAGAACUUAAUAAGAGUUGUUCUUGUAUUAACAAGGUGGAGUCAAGCUAUGAUGAUGAUACUAGUGGAGCUAACAAGGAGGGGAAUAUUGAGGGGAGCACCAAAAGAAAUGAAUCUGGUAAUAUUGAGUGCCCUGACAGUGAGCUUGAUAAACUUCAUUCGAAUUUUUGUUGGGAACAAAAUUCACCUGGCCUUUCUCCAACAGAGUUUGGAAAUUUGUCACCUGAUCUUAGGGAGUUCAGAAAUUCACCCCCUCUUGUUUUUCAGUCUAAUGAGUGUACGACUCUUCCUUUAACAGAAUUUGAGAUUUCUCUGCAGCCACCUCAAGUUGCAAGCACAUCUCAAGGAAGCUUGAUUAGAACUUUUCAAGAAAGUUGUGGUCCAGCUGAAAGAAAUAGAUUUGGGAAUAUUGAGUGCCCUCAUGAAUUUGAUAUGGAUAAUUUCUGUUGGGCACAAAAUUCACCCAGUCUUCCUCUUGUUGACAGAACUCGUCCUCCAACUGAAAUUUCAUGUCAGCAGCCUCAACUUGCAAGGACAUCUCAAGGACACAUGAUUGGAACUUCUUAUAAUAUGGAUUGUAAAGUGGAUUUUCACAGUUUUCGUAUAUCGAGCCAUGUUAUCCCUUACCUGGAAAGUAUCUAUUCGAAAAUAGGUAACUUUUGGAGGGAAUCCGAGGUAGAGAGUGCAUCUAUAAUGGAAGCUACUUUGGAGGAACUUGGAAAGGCACUGUACCUGAUGAUGAAAGAUGGAAACUUGGUGUCAUUGAAUACAGAAGAAUUAAAGACGAUAAAAUCUAAGAUAAAGGAUGCUACAGUGGUUGGGUUCAAGUUGGAUUGCCUGCAAUCUAUUGUAAGGAAAGCAGAGGCAGUAUUGAGAGCAAAGGACCAGUGUCAUUCUUUGGAGGAGCAGAAGUCUUCUCUAGAAUCUCAACUGCGAGGGGUAGAAUCUGAACAUCAGAAUGCAGAGGGUGAGCUAAAAAAUUGUCAACAAGAGCUUGGAUCUCUAGUAUCUGACAUUUUCCUUAGUUUCAUAUGACAUUUUCUUUCUUAGUAUUUGUAACAUCUUUGGAUUCUGAAGAUUAAAUUGUAGCAUUCAGAGUCAACCGCGCUAAAAGAAGAAUCAUGCAGAGGAUUUUCUGAUGGAAGGAUUAUAAAGCAUUUUACAUUGCACCCUAUUUAGAAAAUUGCAGCUCCCAUAAAGAUAUGAAGUUCGUGUAUUUGGAUGUUG
Molecule: unclassified non-coding RNA, 2721 nt
Filed under: Hevea brasiliensis (rubber tree)
Lineage: Eukaryota; Viridiplantae; Streptophyta; Magnoliopsida; Malpighiales; Euphorbiaceae
Source: RNAcentral